This 484-nucleotide ribosomal RNA is filed under the name uncultured bacterium. Its description in RNAcentral is "partial 16S ribosomal RNA". It matches the Rfam family "Bacterial small subunit ribosomal RNA", at positions 28 to 523 of the family's 1533-position model. The record is from RNAcentral.
GACGAACGCUGGCGGCGUGCUUAACACAUGCAAGUCGAACGAUGAACCCGGAGCUUGCUCCGGCGGAUUAGUGGCGAACGGGUGAGUAACACGUGAGUAACCUGCCCUUGACUCUGGGAUAACUGCUAGAAAUGGUAGCUAAUACCGGAUACGACCCUCGGUGGCAUCACCAGGGGGUGGAAAGAAUUUCGGUCAAGGAUGGACUCGCGGCCUAUCAGCUAGUUGGUGAGGUAACGGCUCACCAAGGCGACGAAGGGUAGCCGGCCGGAGAGGGUGACCGGCCACACUGGGACUGAGACACGGCCCAGACUCCUACGGGAGGCAGCAGUGGGGAAUAUUGCACCAUGGGCGAAAGCCUGAUGCAGCAACGCCGCGUGAGGGAUGACGGCCUUCGGGUUGUAAACCGCUUUUAGUAGGGAAGAAGCGAAAGUGACGGUACCUGCAGAAAAAGCACCGGCUAACUACGUGCCAGCAGCCGCCGUAA